This 582-nucleotide long non-coding RNA is filed under the name Lactuca sativa (garden lettuce). RNAcentral describes it as "long non-coding RNA (LSAT_LNC001477)". The record is from RNAcentral. Lineage: Eukaryota; Viridiplantae; Streptophyta; Magnoliopsida; Asterales; Asteraceae.
UAGCGGCACACCAUACAUACAUUGUUUUCCGCACCAAGAGUUAUUCUGGGAUUUUGUACUCUAACCUUAUGGUUGUUUCUAUGUUUUGGUUUUCAUUCACGACAUAUGUUUAUGAAAUGAUAUGAUCAAACAAUGUUUAUUCACAAGUGUUUUCCAAAGUAUUGAUUUAAAAAUGAAAUUUUUGGACGUGAAAAUUGGGUCGUUACAAGAGCCUAGGCUUGUUUUCUUUUUAUACUUGCAAAUUUAGCUGGAAAUUUGAAUUUUGUUGCCGUUUGGACAACGGACUCGGCGAGUACAUCAGGUGACUCGACGAUUCCAUGCCUUAAAAGUGUUCAAAACGAUCCAACUCGCCGAAUUGGUUCAUGCACUCGACGUGUUGGUCCCCCAGACAGCAUAUAUUCGACUGUUUUAGCUGGAAUUGGACUAGGAACAUUACCCUAAGAUGUUUUUGGACUUAUAAACUUGUNCUAGGCUUGCUUUCUUUUUAUACUUGCAAAUUUAGCUGGAAAUUUGAAUUUUGUUGCCGUUUGGACAACAGACUCGGCGAGUACAUCAGGUGACUCGACGAUUACAUGCCUUAAA